Canis lupus familiaris (dog) is the source of this 2676-nucleotide long non-coding RNA. RefSeq lists it as uncharacterized. NCBI's taxonomy places the organism in Eukaryota, Metazoa, Chordata, Mammalia, Carnivora, Canidae. The record is from RefSeq and is a predicted model, not a curated record. The transcript has 3 exons.
GCAGCUGUGGGGCAGGUCCAGGGUCUGCGGCAAAGAAAGUGGCCCCUUGGGUAACCCAGGGCAGGGCCGUGAAACGGGGGCAGCGUGGCCUGCAAGCACUUGUAAGUCCUUGUCCAUCCCCUGCCCCCGGGCAGGUGGCAUGACCACGGCUGGCAGCUGUGACAGCCACGGGGUGGGGGGGGGGGGCAGGAGGCAUGCUCUCAGGGUGCCGAAUUAGGCCCUGCCUCAAGCAUUGCUUGUGCGAUCCCCGGAGGGGGGUCCUCUCCCCCAGCAGCUUCUGAGAUCUCCACCUACAAAGACACUAGUCCCUGCACUGAAGCUGCAGGUGUCAUCAGGCUCGUGAAGAGGUUUAUUUUCCAGAUGAUACAUGAAGGGUCCGCCCUCUUCUUUUUUUUUCUUCCUGUGAUGGGGUCGAAUUUUGUCUGCAUAAAAAGAGUUUGGCUGGGGCCACGGAAUAAUUUAGGCCAAGGACGUUUGGUGGGUGCUCCUGGGAUGGGGAAUUGAAGAGCCAGCGUGUCUCGUCCAUCCCUUUCUGCCCUGAGUCAGCAAGCACGGAGCCCAAGGGCUUGAGAGGGCAGUGCCGCACGCAGGAUGGAGGGAGCUGGGUGCCUGAGAGGGGGCUGUCCCGGGGAGAGAGCCCUCUGCCAACCCACACAGAACGUCACUUGCAGGAGAACUAUAGUUUGGGUUGCCUUAUCAGCCCUCGGGCCAAAUGUUGCAAAGAGCAGCUCAGCGAAGCACAUUUUGAAACGUCCAGAACUUGCCCUGGGAUCAAGACACCUGCUGGGGUCCCUUGGAUAAUAACAGACUAUGGAUUGUGCUCUGUGCUGCGUAAGGCCUGUGACCUCGGCGGGGCCACUUAACUUCUGUGCCUCUGCUGCCAAACCUGUCAAACAGGGUCCUGCCAGUACCUUCCCAUAUGGCUGUUGUGAAGCGUGUGUAAAACCCGCAGAGCAGGCCAACAGUUCCUGGCUCAUGGUCUGCGUGACUGGCCACCACCAGCCCUGCCAUCUGCACGGGAGAUGGAUGUGUCAUUGAUAAACGACUCCUGGUGUGAUACGGGCCUGGCCGAGAUAUAACACCUGGACGCCGGAUCCCAGAUGAGUGUGUAUCUGGAACUGCCCAUCAUGAACCAAGGGCUAUUAUGGCCACGGAGUCAUGCAGUCAGGGAGGCCAGCAGCAGCUCAUCGUAAAUGGGAAGUGGUAUGGCUGGGACCGAGGCCAUGGGGACGUGGGGCUCCAGCAAGCUGCACGAGCACGCGGGCCGGCCCCUCACUUUGGCUGUCCUGUUGCACGAGCGUCCCCCUCCCUCCAUUCAUGAAGGGCCACACAGGAGCAUACCUGAUAAACCACAUGGCAGGAGCCAAAACCCAAGCUUCAGUUACAGAUGAGUUGGUUCCAUAUGUAGGUUCACGGUGAACGUGAACGGAGUGGCCCUGAAGAACAGCGGCAAGAGAAAGUCCUUCCAACAGGCAGACCUUUGGGCAGUGCGUCUGAUGUCCUACUUUGUGCACAGGGAAAAGCAGCCAGACGUUAGAACAUGCACCGAGGCCUGGGCGGAGAGAAAGUGGAAGAUUGGUCGGAGGCACGUGGAUGCACGUGGGAGUGACAUCAGGUGUGAAGCCCUUUGCCUCACAUGCUAAAUCCCACUGAGAGUGCCCUCUGCGGAGGAAGCAGUCUGUCCCCAAGCAGACAGAGGGCUUGGCUGUCUGACAUCAGCCAACUCCAGGCACUGGCCACCGUGGUGCUGGCACAAGGGACAUGAGGGAAGUAGCCACAGUCGGAGGGAUGGGACCACCAUGCCUGGGCUCCCACAAGCAGCAUCGGCUCCUCCGAACCCAGGCUGAGUUUGGCCUUGUUGCUCAUGACCAUCCACCCUGCCAGCAAGAGAGCAAACCCCUAGCCCACCGCAGAACACCAUCCCUCGGUGGCAAGUUAAUUACUGGGGGUCCCUUCCAUCCUGCAAGGGCUCAUGAUUCAUGAUCACAGGACAGUGUCUAUUCCAAAAAGCAUCAUCAUUAAAUAAUCCCAACUGGUAAGAAAUAGAUUUGUUUCAGUUCCCAGACUCAUCACUCAGACGGAUUGUGCGAGAAGCUGUUGUUGAUCACGGUUUCCUGCGGUGAUCUAUGCCAAGCUCUUGGGCUCUCCUCCUAUGAACUAUGAAAUGAUCCCCGGGGAUUCUUUCCCCUGCGCUUUUGCCAGCAGUCCGUCCAUGAACUUAAACCACUCAGCACUCGCCCGAUUGCCUUUGGGAUGUCUUCUGGAUUUGGAGGGCUGUGAAUGUCGCUGGAUUGCAAUCUUUGCUAUCAGCUAAAUGAUGGUGGACGUUGUAAAAGCCUGCUAAUGUCAUUAUAAAAUGAUUACUUGUGCUAUACAAAUACUUUCUUCUCUUAUCCUUUGGAAGAGUGACAAGUCUCAUAGUUCACCUUCCUCUGUGAAUUUCUAAGUGAUCAAGGAGUGGUGGUGGCAAUCCAGGUGUUUUUAAACAACGCUUUCUUGGGCAUGCAGGACUUGAGUUAGGGAGGGGGAGAAGGACUGUGUCUCUCCUGCUAAUAACUAGGAUAGAACAAAGCUUGCAGGGGUACCUGGGUGGCUCAGUUGGUUAAGCGUCCGACUCUUGGUUUCAGCUCAGGUAGUGAUCUCAGGGUCCUGAGGUCCAGUCCUGCAUUAGGCUCU